UACGGAGGGAGCUAGCGUUGUUCGGAAUUACUGGGCGUAAAGCGCACGUAGGCGGCUUUGUAGGUUAGAGGUGAAAGCCCGGGGCUCAACCCCGGAAUUGCCUUUAAGACUGCAUCGCUUGAAUCCGGGAGAGGUGAGUGGAAUUCCGAGUGUAGAGGUGAAAUUCGUAGAUAUUCGGAAGAACACCAGUGGCGAAGGCGGCUCACUGGACCGGUAUUGACGCUGAGGUGCGAAAGCGUGGGGAGCAAACAGG
This 253-nucleotide ribosomal RNA is filed under the name uncultured bacterium. RNAcentral describes it as "partial 16S ribosomal RNA". It matches the Rfam family "Bacterial small subunit ribosomal RNA", at positions 524 to 776 of the family's 1533-position model. The record is from RNAcentral.